GACGAACGCUGGCGGCGUGCUUAACACAUGCAAGUCGAACGGAAAGGCCCUGCUUUUGUGGGGUGCUCGAGUGGCGAACGGGUGAGUAACACGUGAGUAACCUGCCCUUGACUUUGGGAUAACUUCAGGAAACUGGGGCUAAUACCGGAUAGGAGCUCCUGCUGCAUGGUGGGGGUUGGAAAGUUUCGGCGGUUGGGGAUGGACUCGCGGCUUAUCAGCUUGUUGGUGGGGUAGUGGCUUACCAAGGCUUUGACGGGUAGCCGGCCUGAGAGGGUGACCGGCCACAUUGGGACUGAGAUAAGGCCCAGACUCCUACGGGAGGCAGCAGUGGGGAAUAUUGCACAAUGGGCGGAAGGCUGAUGCAGCAACGCCGCGUGCGGGAUGACGGCAUUCGGGUUGUAAACCGCUUUCGCCUGUGACGAAGCGUGAGUGACGGUAAUGGGUAAAGAAGCACCGGCUAACUACGUG
This 468-nucleotide ribosomal RNA is filed under the name uncultured bacterium. Its description in RNAcentral is "partial 16S ribosomal RNA". It matches the Rfam family "Bacterial small subunit ribosomal RNA", at positions 28 to 507 of the family's 1533-position model. The record is from RNAcentral.